Oryzias melastigma (Indian medaka) is the source of this 624-nucleotide long non-coding RNA. RefSeq lists it as uncharacterized. Lineage: Eukaryota; Metazoa; Chordata; Actinopteri; Beloniformes; Adrianichthyidae. The record is from RefSeq and is a predicted model, not a curated record. The transcript is spliced from 2 exons.
CAGAGGAUGAUGUGGAGGUGACGAUGAGGAGGAAGCUGGUUUGAAGGUCACCAGUGGUGCUCUCUGGCAGGACCAACUACCUGCUGAGGUUUCUGCCCUGGGGGAGGUACCACCUGACCUUGAUUACUUUUAACAGCAUCCGUCCACAGCCAAUCCUGUAAACCCUGAAGAUGGACGAUGCAGUCUACAGUGAAGAUGAUCCUGAAACUCUGCAGACCAUCCUGCAAGAUGUUCCAGUCACCACCCAGAAAGUUCUAUCCCUGCGUCUCAGUUGAAGCAUCUCAUCCAUGUCGUCCAUCUUUGUAAAUAGUGUUACAAUGAAUGACGAUUACUGUGUUGGAUUUAUACCUUUAUUUAUAUUUAAAAAACAAACAUUUUAAUGAAUCAAAUAUAAACUUCAUUUAUUCUCAGAAAUCAAAUGUGGUUAUUUGUUGGCAUUUCUUUCCAGGAGACUAUAAAGUUGGUCAAAAGUCUCCCUCCUCUCUCGUGCGCUCUGCUCUUCUGCCUCAUGUCCUCUCUGAUCAGGUCUAGAAGCUCAUCAAUAGUCGCGUUUCCAUUAACUCUGAAAUUUUGCAAAUUGGAAUUUUGAUACAUUCUCCUAAUGGAAACCACAAUUCUGAGAAA